GGAAUUCGUGGUGUAGCGNUGAAAUGCUUAGAUAUCACGAAGAACUCCGAUUGCGANNGCAGCUUGCUGGACUGUAACUGACGCUGAGGCACGAAAGCGUGGGGAUCAAACAGGAUUAGAUACCCUGGUAGUCCACGCCGUAAACGAUGAAUGCUAGCUGUUAGCGAUAUACUGUUAGCGGCACAGAGAAAUCGUUAAGCAUUCCACCUGGGGAGUACGCCGGCAACGGUGAAACUCAAAGGAAUUGACGGGGGCCCGCACAAGCGGAGGAACAUGUGGUUUAAUUCGAUGAUACGCGAGGAACCUUACCUGGGCUUAAAUUGCAGUGGAAUAACGUGGAAACAUGUUAGCCUUCGGGCCGCUGUGAAGGUGCUGCAUGGUUGUCGUCAGCUCGUGCCGUGAGGUGUCGGCUUAAGUGCCAUAACGAGCGCAACCCUCAUCGAUAGUUACUAACAGGUUAAGCUGAGGACUCUAUCGAGACUGCCGACGUAAGUCGUGAGGAAGGUGGGGAUGACGUCAAAUCAGCACGGCCCUUACGUCCAGGGCUACACACGUGUUACAAUGGGGGGUACAAAGGGCAGCUACCUGGCGACAGGAUGCUAAUCUCAAAAACCUCUCUCAGUUCGGAUUGGAGUCUGCAACCCGACUCCAUGAAGCUGGAUUCGCUAGUAAUCGCGCAUCAGCCACGGCGCGGUGAAUACGUUCCCGGGCCUUGUACACACCGCCCGUCAAGCCAUGGGAGCCGGGGGGACCUGAAGUAUGCAACCGUAAGGAGCGUCCUAGGGUAAAACUGGUGACUGGGGCU
This 805-nucleotide ribosomal RNA is filed under the name uncultured prokaryote. Its description in RNAcentral is "bacterial SSU rRNA". It matches the Rfam family "Bacterial small subunit ribosomal RNA", at positions 663 to 1482 of the family's 1533-position model. The record is from RNAcentral.